CCUGCCUGGCUUCACCCAUGACUUCUUCCAGAAACUGUUUACCUGGACAGAGGCAGCUCCUGGGACCCAUGUGUGGGACUACAGUGCCCAGAUGUCUCCUGUCGGCCCCAUGCCUUAGAGAAGAGACUGGUCACAGCCAAUAGAAGUUGUGGCAGACACAGAGAAGAUGAAGACAUGGUGUGUGCUCUAAAGAAGCUUUUUGUCCAAAGCUACCUCUGUAAGGGGAGACCAGUCAGCUACAUGUGGACACAGCCGACUUCUUAAAAGCUUUUUCUCCUUCCUGCUGGCUGAAAUGCAGAUGUGAUGGCAAUGACAGAAGCAGCCAUCUUGGGCCAUAAUACAUCAAUAUCAACAAUUCGCAGAUAAAGAAACUACGAAGGGAGUGAAGGCAAUAAGCCAGAAGGAAAUGAGUCCUCAGGUUUUCAUGGAGCAAAGCCAUCAAGAUGUGGAUUACCUACUUUUGGACUUGAAUGCACAAGAAAAUUAAACCUUCAUCAUAUUUUAAGGCAUAAUGUUUUGGCUCUCUGUUACUCAUACCAAUUAAUAGACAUCAUCAUGAUUUCUUUGAAAAAGUCUAAAUUGGUAGUCAGAAGACUUGUUUUAUUUCUACUUUUGCCUCUAUUUUAUUAUGUGAUUCUAAGUUCUCCUGUUCCUAACCUAGAAAUUAGA
Lontra canadensis (Northern American river otter) is the source of this 669-nucleotide long non-coding RNA. RefSeq lists it as uncharacterized. NCBI's taxonomy places the organism in Eukaryota, Metazoa, Chordata, Mammalia, Carnivora, Mustelidae. The transcript is spliced from 3 exons. The record is from RefSeq and is a predicted model, not a curated record.